RNAcentral lists this ribosomal RNA (105 nucleotides) under Danio rerio (zebrafish). Lineage: Eukaryota; Metazoa; Chordata; Actinopteri; Cypriniformes; Danionidae. The record is from RNAcentral.
GCCAGCAGCUAGAUCUCUGCAACUCUCAUAUAGUCUCCAAGCAAUGCUGCGCCCAGUGAGUACCUGGAUGGGAGACCACAGGGGAAAGCUAGGUUGCUGCAGGAA